This 798-nucleotide ribosomal RNA is filed under the name uncultured Glomeromycotina. RNAcentral's name for it is "SSU rRNA". It matches the Rfam family "Eukaryotic small subunit ribosomal RNA", at positions 314 to 1114 of the family's 1831-position model. Lineage: Eukaryota; Fungi; Glomeromycota. The record is from RNAcentral.
AUCAACUUUCGAUGGUAGGAUAGAGGCCUACCAUGGUGGUAACGGGUAACGGGGUGUUAGGGCACGACACCGGAGAGGGAGCCUGAGAAACGGCUACCACAUCCAAGGAUGGCAGCAGGCGCGCAAAUUACCCAAUCCCGACACGGGGAGGUAGUGACAAUAAAUAACAAUACGGGGUCCUUUGGGUCUCGUAAUUGGAAUGAGUACAAUUUAAAUCUCUUAACGAGGAACAAUUGGAGGGCAAGUCUGGUGCCAGCAGCCGCGGUAAUUCCAGCUCCAAUAGCGUAUAUUAAAGUUGUUGCAGUUAAAAAGCUCGUAGUUGAAUUUCGGGGUUAGUAGAUUGGUCGUGCCUUUGGUAUGCACUGGUCUUACUGACUCCUCCUUCUUGAUGAACUAUGAUGCCAUUAAUUUGGUGUUAUAGGGAAUCUAGACUGUUACUUUGAAAAAAUUAGAGUGUUUAAAGCAGGCUUACGCUUGAAUACAUUAGCAUGGAAUAAUGAAAUAGGACGUUCGAUCCUAUUUUGUUGGUUUCUAGGAUUGACGUAAUGAUUAAUAGGGAUAGUUGGGGGCAUUAGUAUUCAAUUGUCAGAGGUGAAAUUCUUGGAUUUAUUGAAGACUGACUACUGCGAAAGCAUUUGCCAAGGAUGUUUUCAUUAAUCAAGAACGAAAGUUAGGGGAUCGAAGACGAUCAGAUACCGUCGUAGUCUUAACCAUAAACUAUGCCGACUAGGGAUCGGAUGAUGUUAAUUUUUUAAUGACUCAUUCGGCGCCUUACGGGAAACCAAAGUGUUUGGGUUC